GGAGGAAAGCAGGGGAUCGUAAGACCUUGCGCUUUUGGAGUGGCCGAUGCCUGAUUAGCUAGUUGGUGGGGUAAGAGCCUACCAAGGCGACGAUCAGUAGUUGGUCUGAGAGGACGACCAGCCACACUGGGACUGAGACACGGCCCAGACUCCUACGGGAGGCAGCAGUGGGGAAUUUUGGACAAUGGGCGAAAGCCUGAUCCAGCAAUGCCGCGUGAGUGAAGAAGGCCUUCGGGUUGUAAAGCUCUUUCAGUCGAGAAGAAAAGGUUGCGACUAAUAAUCGCAACUUAUGACGGUAUCGACAGAAGAAGCACCGGCUAACUACGUGCCAGCAGCCGCGGUAAUACGUAGGGUGCGAGCGUUAAUCGGAAUUACUGGGCGUAAAGGGUGCGCAGGCGGCUCUGUAAGUCAGAUGUGAAAUCCCCGGGC
RNAcentral lists this ribosomal RNA (429 nucleotides) under uncultured ammonia-oxidizing beta proteobacterium. RNAcentral's name for it is "bacterial SSU rRNA". It matches the Rfam family "Bacterial small subunit ribosomal RNA", at positions 198 to 608 of the family's 1533-position model. Lineage: Bacteria; Pseudomonadati; Pseudomonadota; Betaproteobacteria. The record is from RNAcentral.